Molecule: long non-coding RNA, 664 nt
Organism: Galeopterus variegatus (Sunda flying lemur)
Lineage: Eukaryota; Metazoa; Chordata; Mammalia; Dermoptera; Cynocephalidae
Exons: 3
Source: RefSeq, a predicted model, not a curated record
AUCUUUUGUCUGGAAAUCCCGGAUGCUGCGGUCGCCGGAACGUUGCUCCUCAGAUCUUGCCCGUGGAUUGUGCGUCCCUGAAGCUAACGUGUAGAGAGUUUUGGGCAGGAGAAUCCAGGGUCCAUCCACAACAGUUCUCUCCUUAAUCCACUCCAUUCCCUCCUCUCCCAGCUAAGCUGCCAUAGUGUGCUAUGCAUUUCCAAGACCAAGAAAAGAUGGAUAAAUCUCUGAAUUGUGCCAGAGUGCCUACAUGGAGACUACAUUACUGCGUCUACCUGAAACCAGUACUAAAACACCCCAUUCAAUGGUCGGUAUGAAACACAUCUACAAAAGGAAUUUCCUCUCCUCAAAGCCCAUUCUUGAGUAUUAGGAAAAAACAGCUGCUCUACCAGGUGACUAGAGACCAAUUUAGAGAUACUAGAAAUUUGAAAAAUAAAACUUAUGACACUACCAAGAGAAUAUAAUUUCACUGAGCGGACCGCAUAGAGCAAGAAGUCCAUGAAAUGACUGAAAAGGAAUUUCAAGUAACAAUGCCAAGGAAAGUCAGUGAGAUAGAAGAUGACUCAGAUGGCACAACAAGAUGAGAAAAAGUAUCCAGGAUCUGAAGAAGGAAAUGUACAGACCGUUGCCCUAAGAAAAGAAUGUAGGGGCCGGCCUGUGGCUC